Molecule: ribosomal RNA, 743 nt
Filed under: uncultured bacterium
Lineage: Bacteria
Description: bacterial SSU rRNA
Rfam family: Bacterial small subunit ribosomal RNA
Source: RNAcentral
AGGGGAGCGAAAGGGAUUAGAUACCCCUGUAGUCCUGGCCGUAAACGAUGAACACUAGGUGUCGGGGGAAUCGACCCCCUCGGUGUCGUAGCCAACGCGUUAAGUGUUCCGCCUGGGGAGUACGCACGCAAGUGUGAAACUCAAAGGAAUUGACGGGGGCCCGCACAAGCGGUGGAGUAUGUGGUUUAAUUCGAUGCAACGCGAAGAACCUUACCAGGGUUUGACAUCCUGCGAAUCUCUUGGAAACAGGAGAGUGCCUUCGGGAACGCAGUGACAGGUGGUGCAUGGCUGUCGUCAGCUCGUGUCGUGAGAUGUUGGGUUAAGUCCCGCAACGAGCGCAACCCACGUCUUUAGUUGCCAGCAUUUAGUUGGGCACUCUAGAGAGACUGCCGGUGAUAAACCGGAGGAAGGUGUGGAUGACGUCAAGUCAUCAUGCCCCUUACAUCCUGGGCUACACACGUACUACAAUGCUACGGACAAAGGGCAGCAAGUUCGCGAGGACAAGCAAAUCCCAUAAACCGUGGCUCAGUUCAGAUCGUAGGCUGCAACUCGCCUACGUGAAGGCGGAAUCGCUAGUAAUCGCAGGUCAGCAUACUGCGGUGAAUACGUUCCCGGGCCUUGUACACACCGCCCGUCACACCAUGGAAGUUGGCCACGCCCGAAGCCGUUACUCCAACCCUUGUGGAGGAGGACGUCGAAGGUGGGGCUGAUGACUGGGGUGAAGUCGUAACAAGGUAACCGUA